Molecule: ribosomal RNA, 448 nt
Filed under: uncultured bacterium
Lineage: Bacteria
Description: bacterial SSU rRNA
Rfam family: Bacterial small subunit ribosomal RNA
Source: RNAcentral
UUCCAGACUCCUACGGGAGGCAGCAGUGGGGAAUAUUGCACAAUGGGGGAAACCCUGAUGCAGCGACGCCGCGUGAGCGAUGAAGUAUUUCGGUAUGUAAAGCUCUAUCAGCAGGGAAGAAGAUGACGGUACCUGACUAAGAAGCCCCGGCUAACUACGUGCCAGCAGCCGCGGUAAUACGUAGGGGGCAAGCGUUAUCCGGAUUUACUGGGUGUAAAGGGAGCGUAGACGGCGAUGCAAGCCAGAUGUGAAAGCCCGGGGCUCAACCCCGGGACUGCAUUUGGAACUGUGUGGCUGGAGUGUCGGAGAGGCAGGCGGAAUUCCUAGUGUAGCGGUGAAAUGCGUAGAUAUUAGGAGGAACACCAGUGGCGAAGGCGGCCUGCUGGACGAUGACUGACGUUGAGGCUCGAAAGCGUGGGGAGCAAACAGGAUUAGAUACCCCUGUACC